GUGGAUUAGAUACCCUGGUAGUCCACGCCGUAAACGGUGGGUACUAGGUGUGGGUCCCUUUUCACGGGAUCCGUGCCGUAGCUAACGCAUUAAGUACCCCGCCUGGGGAGUACGGCCGCAAGGCUAAAACUCAAAGGAAUUGACGGGGGCCCGCACAAGCGGCGGAGCAUGUGGAUUAAUUCGAUGCAACGCGAAGAACCUUACCUGGGUUUGACAUACACCAGAAAGCUGUAGAGAUACAGCCCCCCUUGUGGUUGGUGUACAGGUGGUGCAUGGUCGUCGCCAGCU
Molecule: ribosomal RNA, 288 nt
Filed under: uncultured bacterium
Lineage: Bacteria
Description: partial 16S ribosomal RNA
Rfam family: Bacterial small subunit ribosomal RNA
Source: RNAcentral